RNAcentral lists this long non-coding RNA (271 nucleotides) under Lathyrus oleraceus (garden pea). RNAcentral's name for it is "Pisum sativum (pea) long non-coding RNA (PSAT_LNC016807)". The record is from RNAcentral. Lineage: Eukaryota; Viridiplantae; Streptophyta; Magnoliopsida; Fabales; Fabaceae.
UUAGUGUCUUCUUAAAAAGAGUUUCUAUAGAUUCUAUUGUUUUCAAAAAGUGAUUUUGGACUUAACUAAUUAGUGACAGCGCACGUUAAUAUAAAGUCAUAGUUUAUUCAACAGAGCGAGAGUUUGAGAAAAGACUUUUAAUCAAUAGUGUCUACUGAAAAGAUUUAUUUUAAAACUAAGAAACUAACGAAGAUUUGAUCCCCUAAUUACGACGAACUACGUACCGAUAUCCGCUUAUUUGAUAUUUAAUCUAGAUCUUAUUUUAGUUUUA